This 238-nucleotide ribosomal RNA is filed under the name uncultured bacterium. RNAcentral's name for it is "partial 16S ribosomal RNA". It matches the Rfam family "Bacterial small subunit ribosomal RNA", at positions 524 to 761 of the family's 1533-position model. The record is from RNAcentral.
UACGUAGGGUGCAAGCGUUGUCCGGAAUUAUUGGGCGUAAAGAGCUCGUAGGCGGUCUGUCGCGUCUGCUGUGAAAACCUAGGGCUUAACUCUGGGCGUGCAGUGGGUACGGGCAGGCUAGAGUGCGGUAGGGGAGACUGGAAUUCCUGGUGUAGCGGUGAAAUGCGCAGAUAUCAGGAGGAACACCGGUGGCGAAGGCGGUCUCUGGGCAUGAUCCUGACGCUGAGGAGCGAAAGUG